RNAcentral lists this ribosomal RNA (301 nucleotides) under uncultured bacterium. RNAcentral describes it as "partial 16S ribosomal RNA". It matches the Rfam family "Bacterial small subunit ribosomal RNA", at positions 509 to 807 of the family's 1533-position model. The record is from RNAcentral.
CAGCCGCCACGGUAAUACGAGGGGUGCAAGCGUUAUUCGGAUUGAUUGGGUGUAAAGGGUGUGCAGACGGCUUAUUAAGUCACUUGUUAAAUUCUUCGGCCUAACUGAAGGUCUGCAAGUGAUACUGAUGAGCUAGAGGGUGGAAGAGAGUAGUGGAAUUCUCGGAGUAGCGGUGAAAUGCGUUGAGAUCGGAAAGAACACCAACGGCGAAAGCACUCUGCUGGGCCGACACUGACACUGAGAGACGAAAGCUAGGGGAGCAAAUGGGAUUAGAUACCCCAGUAGUCCCUGUCUCUUAUAC